This 155-nucleotide ribosomal RNA is filed under the name leaf litter ascomycete strain its198. RNAcentral describes it as "5.8S ribosomal RNA". It matches the Rfam family "5.8S ribosomal RNA". Rfam says of the family: 5.8S ribosomal RNA (5.8S rRNA) is a component of the large subunit of the eukaryotic ribosome. The record is from RNAcentral. Lineage: Eukaryota; Fungi; Ascomycota.
AACUUUCAACAACGGAUCUCUUGGUUCUGGCAUCGAUGAAGAACGCAGCGAAAUGCGAUAAGUAAUGUGAAUUGCAGAAUUCAGUGAAUCAUCGAAUCUUUGAACGCACAUUGCGCCUAUUAGUAUUCUAGUAGGCAUGCCUGUUCGAGCGUCAU